AGUGCACCUCCCGCCGUAGCCUGAGAGGGAUCGGCCCGAUUGGCCACGCUCCUUCAAACCACCACUUUCCCCCGAAAAAGGGACGAAAGCCUCAGGUCCCCAAACGAGCGCUCCCUCGCCCAGAGACCCCGGCUUGCACACCCCGCCCUGUUCCCCGCGGCGCGGGAGGAGAGGCCGCCCCACACAGGAAGUGUGUCCUGCGCCGGGACCUUGCGCCCAACCCGCCGGUACCUGCCCUCCGCCCCCAACAGGCGAGAAGCAGCCGCGUCCACAUGGCUUCAGGUGUUCACAUGGCAGUAAACGGGCCCCUGCUCUCCUGGGCGCCCCAGCGCGGCGCCCUCCCGCCCACAUCCCGGCCCAGCCCCGCUGGCCUCGCCUCCAGCCCGUAGCCAAGAGGCGAGCGCGGCCGGUGCCCCCGGGGCUGCCAGGGGCCCCGAAGCAGGCGGCGCUGACUCCCGGACGCCGCCCGCUCACACCCGCCGCCUUUGCACCCAAGGCCUCGCGCGACCAGCAGGUCACUGAUUCUACUACCAUCUGUCAGCGUGGAUUGAUUGAGGAGACUGGCCCUGCUCGGCAGAUCAGUGACUUGUGCGAAGGUCCCACAGAAACUUCUGCUCUCCAGGUUUGCCCCUCCACUCUGCCCUCCAGGAUAGAAGUGUGGCAUCCUAAUCUGGGAUGCAUCCAUCUCUCCCCCUGGACUGUGAGCAUAUGCAGGGCAGAGACACCUCUGCUUCUCUUGGGUCUCCGGCAUCCUGUGCAGGAUGGGGCCACUGAGGUGCAAAGAGUUUAACUUAUCCCAAGUCACACAGUUUGGAAGAGGCUGAGCUGGUAUUUGAACCCAGGUUUUCAGAGGCUGCACUCUUAACCACCAAGCUUCCCAGCACUCAGCAAACACUGGAAAGACAGAGAUGGACCUAGACAGUCAGUAGGACCAAAAGUCUGCAGGCCGAUAGGGAAAGAAUGUAAGAGGACGGCAUGGGCAGCGCCAGCCCCUCCAGCAGUCAUAUAUUAAGCCCUGGACACUGGGCAGCUCGGGCAGGUCGGGGGGCCUCAGACUCUCGGACCCCAUGCCUGGAAGACCACGGUCUGCCCAACAAGCAGCAGCUGCUGUGAAUCGACUUACACAUCUUCCCCACAGGUGAGCAGAGAGCUAACACCUGAGGAUAGGCCAAGAAACGGGAAGCCCGUGCAACCUGAGCGCACAGAUCACCCCCACCUGCCCGGCACUCACUGUCCCCAGUGGCUGGACUCUCAUCGGGCCAGUCACUGAGCUGGCGCCAGCCUGGUCUCACCAGUGUGUGUCUUUAAAUCAUCCAAUUUCUUCAGCUGUAAAUUGGGCUGGGAGGGGCCAGGUGAGCUGCCUGCCUCAGGGGAGUCGGCGCCCUUACCUGAGUGAUCCCAUUCACUCCUCACAACAAACCCAUGAGGCAGGGAUUGUCAUCUUCAUUGUACAGAGCAGGAAAUGGGUGCACACAGAGGUUAAGAGACUUGCCCAGGUCACACAGCUAGGAAGAGGCUGUGAUUUGAACUCAGUCUUCUGGCUCCAAAGCCCCCACAGAGUCACUCAGGGCACUACAAAGAGUUAACCUGAAUAUGAAAUGAUCUAAGAGUCGCAGUGACAAAGGCAUGCUCUAAGCGCUUUUCCUGCAGUAACUUGCUUAAUCCUUACAACAACCCUAUAAAGUGGGUACUGUUCUCGCCUCAUUUUGCAGAUGAGGAAACUGAGGCACAGAGCAGCUCGGAGGGGGCAGAGCUGAAUCUGACAGGCUACAGGGCCCCUGCGUUGCUUUGUUAUAAGAUGACAAUAAGGAAGUUCCUUUCCUUUGGGAUUAUUUCUGCCUGAAAGCUCAAGACUUUUAGCCACAUCAUUGUCUGGGCUCCACGGGAAGGCAGUGCCACAUGCUGAGGCAUGCUGGGAAAAGACUUUGUUCCAUCCUGUUUUGUUGACAUGCUCUUCAUUUUUAAGCCUGAAACCGAAGCUUCCUGCUAAGAAUUCAAACCAUGGAGAAAAACGCAGCCAUGAUAACGGCCACUACUUCCUGAGCCUCCAGUGUUCCCUGUGCUUGGGGAUCCAUAUAUGUCACUUAACCUUAACCUUCACAACACCAGGGCAGCCUCCAUUUUCACAAGUGAAGAAAUGGAGGCCCAGAGUCACUUAGAAGAUGCUCGAAGGUGCACAGCUGCUAAGUGGUGGUGCUGGGAUUUGUCCUCAGGUCCUCAAGAGUCCUGACUCUUAUGUGCUGGCUCCCCACGGAGGCGUGGAGUCUUGUUUGCUGGGCAUUUGACAGAAAUGUUUCUGCUCAUCUUCUGCCACAGGUUGGUCCUUCAGCGUCAAGAUUCCUGGGCCACUUAUUAAUAGAAGGCACCAGGACACAGGUGCAGGGAUGCAGAGCUGGAUGCUGCCUUCUCAAUAGGAGAAGCCAAGAAACGCAGAUGCCGAUGCUUAAUCAACUCCGUCUCUCCCUCUAGUGACUCGGGGAUAGCUGCCCUGAUGCCAAGGCGAUUGUCUUCUGGAAGCAGCCACGCCGUGUGAGGUUCCUCAUCACUGCCCUGCAUCUCCCUGCGAGCUCUCGGGGAUAAUUGCAAAAUCACGUUUGAUUCCAGGGGAGCAGAAAGCAGCAGGAGCCGUGAAUUCUCCAACUCUUAACUGGUCCUCGACUGGAGCCACUUUUCCCUGCCCACCCAUCCCUGUGGCGGAUUCAUUACAGUUAUCCAAAGCCGGUUUUAACUUUGCUCCCCCUGGCUCAGAAGUCUGUCAGUGGGUCCUGAGCGGCUUCACCAUUCAAGUUUAUUCCUAUCAGCCUGGAAUACAAUGCUCUAUCUGGCUCCGCUUGCUUCUCCAAACCUUCUCUCCCAGGUCUCAUUCUGCCUCUCUGUCUAACUAGACAAGUUGGCUUCCUGUCCUGUGCCUGUCUGCUCCCUGCAGCAGGAAUGCCGUUCCCUCUUCCCUACAGAUUGAAAUUAUAUCCUCUUUCAAGUCUUACUCAAAUGCCACCUCCUCCACAAACUCUUAACACUUAUUCAUUCAUUCAACAAACAUUGACUGAGCCCUUAUGACAAGCAUUGAUCCCAAGGGUCCCUGUGGUCAUGAAGUUUAUGGUGCCAUGGAGCUGUUAGAAAAAGAAUCAUCACAUAAAUAAUCAUCUGAUAACAGCCAUGAUACAAAUUAGUAAGAAAGUGUGGCAGGAGCACAGCAGAUGUACAAUAGGGACCCUGAGCCUUGGGGAUCUAGGACAUUUGAGCUGAGGCCUGAAAGACAAGUAGGAAGUAACCACAUGGUGAAGUUGGAGGAGAGCUCCAGGCAGAGGGCACGGCAUGGGCAAAGGCCCUGCGGUAGGAGGGAACAAGUAGAUUUCCAGGAAGGGCACAGGGGCCUGCAGGGUAAUGUAAGUGAAAUGAGAAAGCUGGAGAUGCAGCUGGAGCAGGACAGUACAGGCCACAGAGGCUUUGCGACUUUAUCCCUGGGCAAAAAGAGGAGAUGAUGAAGGAUUCUGAGCACAGGACACAAGCCAGUAUGUAUUUAGACGCGAUCCUGCCCUGUGGCUGAGCCUCUUCUGAGAAGUGCAGGCCCUGUGUCACGUCACCCUGAACCUCAGUCAUCAGGGUUUUGGAUGUGAGUUUCCAUAUCCCUCUUCCUAGGCCAAGCUCUCAAAGGCAAGGCUGACCUCUGGUCUUCAGCUUCAUCCUCAUCAGCCAGGCCAGUGCCCAGCACAAGGAGCUGCUCCAAAAACAUACGUGGGUUGAACCAGUGACCAGGACAAGACGCUUAUCAGCAUUUCCCUGCGAAGGAGCAGGGCUGCCUGUAAAGCCUUCCACAUUCUCUAGAAAUUACAAAGUUCAAGGGUUUUAGUGAGGCCACGACUCAGGGAGCCCUUGAGAGCCAAGCUGGCAUCCCACUGCUGUGCACACCCAGCCUGGGCACACAGUAUGACCCUGCCCAGGCAUCUGCCUGCGGCCGUCUGGUGAAUGACCAGAAACAGAACCGAAAGCUCUGUAAAGUGCUCUCAAGGUUACAAAGCAUGUUUCACAGGAGCAGUUUCAUCUCACACGGGCAGCCCUCUGAGCUGGGUAGUUACUGCUUUACAGAUGAGGAAACUGAGGCCCGGGAGAGGGCGGGACCUCAGCAAAUCAAGAAAAAACUGAGACUAGGACCUAACGGAAGUCCAGGCUAUGAAUGGCCCCCGUAGGGUUAAAAGAGCUUUCUAGAAAUUUCUUUGAAAACUAUUGUAAAGUGACAUAUUUCCUCAGGAUGUCUGUCACGCCAGCAGUGGGAGCCAACACACCAACUCUCAGAGGCUGUUCCCCCUGCGCGGCAGAUCCAGACGCUCAGCUCCCAGGCCUGGAGGCUGGCGGCUUAGCCCAGGGCACAGGAGGAGGCUGCCUGGGUUUGGCGCUGACUUACAGCAGGUGCUGAGGGAAUGCUGAGGAGAGGCAAGGCUGAUUCAAGAGGCCGACAACAGAGAACAUUCCUAGAGCUCUCCCGCCAGCUAGGCAUGGUGCUAAGUGCAUUACCUGCGUCCACUCGUAACAUCCUCACAACACUGUGAAUACGAUGACCAUCCCCAUGUACAGGCGUGGACGCUAAGGCUCAGAGCAAUAAAUAAUUAGCCUGAGAUCACACGGCAGCCUCCUCCCCUAGGGCUCUCUAGGCUUCCUUUACCCGUCCUGCCUCAGAUGGACUCCCAGCAUCAUCAUCUGCCUCUGUGCCUUCUUGGUAGUAGGUGGGUGUGAAAAAGAAAGGAAGGGCCAGGUGCAGUGGCUCAUACCUGUAGUCCCAGCACUUUGGGAGGCUGAGGCGGGCGGAUCACCUGAGGUCAGGAGUUCGAAACCAGCCUGGCCAACAUGGUGAAACCCUAUCUCUGGUGGCAGGUGCCUGUAAUCCCAGCUACUUGGAAGGCUGAGGCUGGAGAAUCACUUGAACCUGGGAGGCAGAGGUUGCAGUGAGCAGAGAUUGCGCCACUGCACUCCAGUCUGGGCAACAGAGCGACUCCCUCUCAAUAAAUAAAAUAAAAUAAGGAAGGACAGAGGGCAAUGUGACCUUCGGCAAGCUCCCUAAGCUCCUGAAGCCUCAGCCUUUUCACCCGUAGAACAGGGACAUUAACAUCACCCCCGAGUGAGGGCUGCAGGCACACAGUGACUGCGCUUCUCAGUGCCACAAGUGCUGUUGCCAUCAUUCCAGCCUCAGGUGCUCCGUGAGGUGGGACGAUUCACCCCAUGAGCAAACAGGCUCAGGGAGGUGUGGUGCCUACAGUCACCCAGCAGACACAGCGGAGCAAGGAGGAAGCCACACCUG
Molecule: long non-coding RNA, 5293 nt
Filed under: Homo sapiens (human)
Lineage: Eukaryota; Metazoa; Chordata; Mammalia; Primates; Hominidae
Description: non-protein coding lnc-SMDT1-3:24
Source: RNAcentral